Microcebus murinus (gray mouse lemur) is the source of this 625-nucleotide non-coding RNA. The record is from RefSeq and is a predicted model, not a curated record. Lineage: Eukaryota; Metazoa; Chordata; Mammalia; Primates; Cheirogaleidae.
UGAACAGACCCCACACGAUCCUUGUAAACGGUCCGAGUUGGUCUACAUGCCUUCGCCUCUGGAGCACGUACCCCCUCCAGUCCUUACUCGGAAGACAGUUGCUAGACUAUGUGAUGCCUCGCCUCCGGUUUACUAUUUACGGCAUUUACAGAUUGCCUCUGAAGACUGUCAUCUCACAAGAAAGCCUAUUCUCACAAGACAUCCCGACCCACUCUGCAGGAUAUUAAAGGAAAAGUUCCUUCAAGAUAAACAUUUCAUCUUUGCACAAGGCAUAGCACUUAUAUUCUUGAAAAAAACUAAUGUGCCACAUCUGCAAUUCUUAAUGCUAAAGCCUCGAGUUAAAACUACAAUGAAAUUCUCAAUACUAAGCAAUUAGGAGGUAAAAUUUCACAUGCAGCCAGGACAGAAGUGUAUAUUGCUAGCAUGUUAGUGUACACAGAAUGCUGGAAUUUAUUCCCUAGCCUUAGGAAAAGAAUUAACAUAAUAGGAUUCAAGUCAUCCUGAAUCUUGAAUCUAAACAAUAGCUUCAGAAAAAAACGUAGCAGUGGGAGCCGUUUGGAGGCAGCAGCAAAGAUCAUGGGAACUGUAGAGGCAAAGUCAGAAAUAAAAUUUCUUAAAUAAGACC